AACGAGGCCGACCUGCGGCUGAGUUACCUGCGGAAGGAUCAUUACAAGUGACCCCGGUCUAACCACCGGGAUGUUCAUAACCCUUUGUUGUCCGACUCUGUUGCCUCCGGGGCGACCCUGCCUUCGGGCGGGGGCUCCGGGUGGACACUUCAAACUCUUGCGUAACUUUGCAGUCUGAGUAAACUUAAUUAAUAAAUUAAAACUUUUAACAAUGGAUCU
Molecule: unclassified non-coding RNA, 219 nt
Filed under: soil metagenome
Description: partial contains 5.8S ribosomal RNA, internal transcribed spacer 2, and large subunit ribosomal RNA
Source: RNAcentral